RNAcentral lists this long non-coding RNA (766 nucleotides) under Nicotiana benthamiana. RNAcentral's name for it is "long non-coding RNA (NBEN_LNC029962)". The record is from RNAcentral. Lineage: Eukaryota; Viridiplantae; Streptophyta; Magnoliopsida; Solanales; Solanaceae.
CGAUCCCAAAUCACCAUCCUCGGUACUGUCAUUCUCACCUUGCUCUCUAAAAACCUAAAUUCUCAACAAACCUAAAGUUUCUAUAAAUAUUUUCUUCGACAUUGCUAAACCAAAUCGCCAAUCCCCUCCCAACUCCCUCACUUGCAAAUUACAGUGCCAAAUCCCCAAAGUCCUCAAAACUCGGUUCCUAACUAGCAAAUCACCAGUAAAUGUUCCUCAAAUCUCGGCUAACCCAAAACUCCAGAAUCCCCAAAGUCCCAAACUCCAAUUUUUUUUUUGAGUCGCCAUUGAACCUUUGCGUGUUUUCGCUUGAUUUCAUGAUUUCAUCAGCCAUGGCCGCCGAGGUAACCCAAAAAUUUUCCAUGAAAAAAAACAAACCCUUGUUUAAUUUUGUUUUAGUCGUUUAUAUUUUAAUUUUCUAACUUCUUGUGAAUUCCAAGAAAUCACAAGAAUCGUUUAUUUUUUAAAAACAAAAAUUUUCCAAGACAUCUUCUUUUGCAUGUGAAUUCGGUUGUAGAAAAGAAUGGUGGAAAACCAUACACAAGCGACUUGUUCAAGGAUUUAAAGGUAUGUAUAUAACUAUUACUAAUUGGUUGUACUCCUUACACAUUUUACUUUUCAUCAAAAUCUUGUCUAGUUGCAAAUGUUGGUUGGAUAUAUCAAUUGAAUGUUUUUCCAAAGGAAUGUUCGUUGGAUAUCUACGAGGGAAAAACAGCUAAACAGAUAACGCUGUGUUAACAUAUUUGACAGGUAAAUUCUAAACUUC